UUUCUAACCAUUUCUGUUCCUUUAUUAUUAUACUUUGGUAUCUUCUUGAUUUAUUUCAUAGAUGUUCUGGUUAGAAAGAUUUUCACUGAAAAGUAUGUGGGCAAAGAAUCAAGAAUAUGAUUUAGAUUCGAAUUUAUUUGUAUUGAAUCAUAGUUCCCUUUUUUUAGCUUUCGAGAAAUAUAAAUAAUUUAUGAAAUAGUCAAGAGCAACCAAAUGCAACUUAGUCUCUAUGGCAAGUUGAAUCUUUAUAUCUAUUGUCUGGUAUUG
RNAcentral lists this unclassified non-coding RNA (267 nucleotides) under Hevea brasiliensis (rubber tree). The record is from RNAcentral. Lineage: Eukaryota; Viridiplantae; Streptophyta; Magnoliopsida; Malpighiales; Euphorbiaceae.